GAUUUUCCAUUGUAAUUCCGCCAUCUUCGUUUCUAUGAGGAUCAUUUGUUUACAUAUGACAUUCGUCACUGUACGCAGUUUCCUGAAAUGUUCCUUUCAUUGAUGUGAUAAGGUUUCCCGCGCUUUAUGCAAAUUUUAUGAAAUUGAACUCCACGGAAACACUUCCGGUAAAAACAAUGGCUGAUUCCACCAUUCAAAAUCGUCUAUGAAAAUGUGAAGGUCAGGAUUAUGACAGUGCGAUCACUUAAAAGGAGGUCAGUAGUGGUUUUUCUAAAUGCGAUUUUUGAAUGGAAUGUAAAAAACUAUAUCUCGAGUAAACGCGAUUGAUAGUUUAGAUUAUUUUUACCGAUAACCGCUACGAAUUUCAGCUGACGGCGACUAUAGGC
This 386-nucleotide long non-coding RNA is filed under the name Mytilus galloprovincialis (Mediterranean mussel). Lineage: Eukaryota; Metazoa; Mollusca; Bivalvia; Mytilida; Mytilidae. The record is from RNAcentral.